UAAUUUGGUGUUUCUUCGAUC
Molecule: microRNA, 21 nt
Filed under: Arabidopsis thaliana (thale cress)
Lineage: Eukaryota; Viridiplantae; Streptophyta; Magnoliopsida; Brassicales; Brassicaceae
Description: ath-miR870-3p
Gene: ath-miR870-3p
Source: miRBase by way of RNAcentral